Molecule: ribosomal RNA, 301 nt
Filed under: uncultured bacterium
Lineage: Bacteria
Description: partial 16S ribosomal RNA
Rfam family: Bacterial small subunit ribosomal RNA
Source: RNAcentral
CAGUCGCCACGGGAAUACGAAGGGGGCUAGCGUUGCUCGGAAUGACUGGGCGUAAAGGGCGCGUAGGCGGCGAUCAAAGUCAGGCGUGAAAUUCCUGGGCUCAACCUGGGGGCUGCGUUUGAUACUUGAUUGCUAGAGUGGGGAAGAGGGUCGUGGAAUUCCCAGUGUAGAGGUGGAAUUCGUAGAUAUUGGGAAGAACACCGGUGGCGAAGGCGGCGACCUGGUCCUUGACUGACGCUGAGGCGCGAAAGCGUGGGGAGCAAACAGGAUUAGAUACCCGGGUAGUCCCUGUCUCUUAUAC